RNAcentral lists this transfer RNA (81 nucleotides) under Ochromonas sp. CCMP1393. The stretch from base 5 to 76 matches the Rfam family "tRNA", at positions 6 to 65 of the family's 71-position model. From Rfam's summary of the family: Transfer RNA (tRNA) molecules are approximately 80 nucleotides in length. The record is from RNAcentral. Lineage: Eukaryota; Chrysophyceae; Chromulinales; Chromulinaceae.
CGGAGGUGGUGGAGCGGUAUACACGCUCGCCUCAGGAGCGAGUCCCCGUUUGGGGUCGCGGGUUCGAGUCCCGUCCGCUCC